Molecule: ribosomal RNA, 465 nt
Filed under: uncultured bacterium
Lineage: Bacteria
Description: partial 16S ribosomal RNA
Rfam family: Bacterial small subunit ribosomal RNA
Source: RNAcentral
CCUACGGGGUGCAGCAGUGGGGAAUAUUGCGCAAUGGGCGAAAGCCUGACGCAGCGACGCCGCGUGAGGGAUGAAGGUCUUCGGAUCGUAAACCUCUGUCAGCAGGGAAGAACGGUCACUGUGCUAAUCAGCAGUGAAUUGACGGUACCUGCAAAGGAAGCACCGGCUAACUCCGUGCCAGCAGCCGCGGUAAUACGGAGGGUGCGAGCGUUAAUCGGAAUUACUGGGCGUAAAGCGCUCGUAGGCGGUAUGUCAAGUCAAGGGUGAAAUCCCCGCGCUCAACGUGGGAACUGCCUUUGAAACUGGCAAACUGGAGUGUGUGAGAGGAUGGUGGAAUUCCAGGUGUAGGAGUGAAAGCCGUAGAUAUCUGGAGGAACAUCAGUGGCGAAGGCGACUAUCUGGCACAUAACUGACGCUGAGGAGCGAAAGCGUGGGUAGCAAACAGGAUUAGAUACCCCGGUAGUC